UGAGUGGCGGACGGGUGAGUAACGCGUGGGUAACCGUAGCCUCGGUACAGGGGACGAACGAGUUGGAAACGGCUGCUAAUACCGCAUAAGCGCACAGUACCGCAUGGUACAGUGUGAAAAACUCCGGUGGUACGAGAUGGACCCGCGUCUGAUUAGCUAGUUGGUGAGGUAACGGCCCACCGAGGCGACGAUCAGUAGCCGAUCUGAGAGGAUGAACGGCCACAUUGGGACUGAGACACGGCCCAGACUCCUACGGGAGGCAGCAGUGGGGAAUAUUGCACAAUGGGCGAAAGCCUGAUGCAGCGAACCGCCGCGUGAGCGAUGAAGUAUUUCGGUAUGUAAAGCUCUAUCAGCAGGGAAGAAAAAUGACGGUACCUGACUAAGAAGCACCGGCUAAAUACGUGCCAGCAGCCGC
RNAcentral lists this ribosomal RNA (415 nucleotides) under uncultured bacterium. RNAcentral's name for it is "bacterial SSU rRNA". It matches the Rfam family "Bacterial small subunit ribosomal RNA", at positions 92 to 518 of the family's 1533-position model. The record is from RNAcentral.